GAAUGGCUCAUUAAAUCAGUUAUCGUUUAUUUGAUAGUACCUUACUACUUGGAUAACCGUGGUAAUUCUAGAGCUAAUACAUGCUAAAAACCCCGACUUUUGGAGGGGUGUAUUUAUUAGAUAAAAAACCAAUGCCCUUCGGGGCUCCUUGGUGAUUCAUAAUAACUUAACGAAUCGCAUGGCCUUGUGCCGGCGAUGGUUCAUUCAAAUUUCUGCCCUAUCAACUUUCGAUGGUUAGGUCUUGGCUAACCAUGGUUUCAACGGGUAACGGGGAAUUAGGGUUCUAUUCCGGAGAGUGAGCCUGAGAAACGGCUAACACAUCCAAGGAAGGCAGCAGGCGCGCAAAUUACCCAAUCCCGAUUCGGGGAGGUAGUGACAAUAAAUACUGAUCCAGGGCUCUUUUGGGUCUUGGAAUUGGAAUGAGUACAAUUUAAAUCCCUUAACGAGGAACAAUUGGAGGGCAAGUCUGGUGCCAGCAGCCGCGGUAAUUCCAGCUCCAAUAGCGUAUAUUAAAGUUGUUGCAGUUAAAAAGCUCGUAGUCGGAUUUCGGGUGCUGCCCGGUGUAGCCACGGCGAACGCCGGGUGGGGCCUUCCUUCUGGGAUUCCUCUGCACUCUUUACUGAGUCGGAUGGCGUUCCAGGACGUUUACUGUGAAAAAAUUAGAGUGUUUAAAGCAGGCGAUUGCCGUGAAUACAUUAGCAUGGGAUAAUAGAAUAGGACUUUGGAACUAUUUUGUUGGUUUGGGUUACGAAGUAAUGAUUAAUAGGGACGGUUGGGGGCAUUCGGAUUCCGUUGUCAGAGGUGAAAUUCUUAGAUUAGCGGAAGACGAACAGCUGCGAAAGCGUCUGCCAAGGACGUUUU
This 861-nucleotide ribosomal RNA is filed under the name Rhodella violacea. RNAcentral's name for it is "partial Eukaryotic small subunit ribosomal RNA". It matches the Rfam family "Eukaryotic small subunit ribosomal RNA", at positions 91 to 970 of the family's 1831-position model. Lineage: Eukaryota; Rhodophyta; Rhodellophyceae; Rhodellales; Rhodellaceae. The record is from RNAcentral.